UACGGGGGGUGCGAGCGUUGUCCGGAAUCACUGGGCGUAAAGGGCGCGUAGGUGGCGUGAUAAGGGUGUGGUGAAAGCCCGGGGCUCAACCCCGGGUCUGCCAUGCCGACUGUCAGGCUAGAGUACUGUAGGGGCAGGCGGAAUUCCGGGUGUAGCGGUGGAAUGCGUAGAGAUCCGGAGGAAGACCGGUGGCGAAGGCGGCCUGCUGGGCAGUUACUGACACUGAGGCGCGACAGCGUGGGGAGCAACAGG
This 252-nucleotide ribosomal RNA is filed under the name uncultured bacterium. RNAcentral's name for it is "partial 16S ribosomal RNA". It matches the Rfam family "Bacterial small subunit ribosomal RNA", at positions 524 to 775 of the family's 1533-position model. The record is from RNAcentral.